Molecule: long non-coding RNA, 2031 nt
Filed under: Gallus gallus (chicken)
Lineage: Eukaryota; Metazoa; Chordata; Aves; Galliformes; Phasianidae
Description: lncRNA (ENSGALG00010009966.1)
Source: RNAcentral
UUCAAGAGGUGUUUUAUUUCUCCAGUCUUUCUGCUAUCGUCAGCUCUCUCCUCAAGAGUCUUCUGUCCUUCAAGUUCCAUCAAACUAAAGCCAAGUUUCAGCUACCUGGGAAUAUUUCUGGGUGAAUUGCCUCCAGUGCUUACCAAUGGCCUGGAAGAAGGCAUGUCCACACACGGGAUAAAGCUUUCUGAUUGUACAAAGCAUGCUGCAGGACUGUCAAUACAAAUGAGGAAAAAACUAUGCCCAGAAGGCACUGAAUAGGCUACAAACUGAGGGAAGAGCAGGAAAUUGAGCAAGAGCAAAAAUGAUAGGUUAAAACUUGGGGACAACGUCAAAAGGUCCUCAGUAAUGAAGAAAUUUGAAUUAGCUGAUGGCACCCUUGUUGAGAAAGACUUAAUUUCCUGGAGUGUUCACAUGAGCUUCACAGCCUGAGCACAGGGGAUGCUUCCAUUACAUGGGCUCCGUGUCAAGGGUUACUGAUUGUUCCUCUUAUACUGGAGCUCAUUUUCAAGUUCACCCCAAUGAUGAACUCAUUUUCUUAUACUCUCCUGAAAGUUUAGGAAAAAGAAGUAAUUACACGCAAAGUGCUUUGUGGGUAAUAAUACACUACAAUUUAUUUUUUUAUAAUUUUGCUGGUGUAAAAAUAUGUUAUGACAAGAAUGUUGACAGGAAAUGCAGAUGAAGUUUGUCCUCUUUGACCUAUUUGAGAUGUGAUGAUGGCUCAGAUCACAGGUGCCAUUAGUCAUACAACAGGUACUCCAACCACAUCCUCACCUUCUUUUUUUUUUUUCUCAUUCUACCUGUAGACAGUGAUUGUUUUCUUCAGGUGUGGACUUUGUAAUCAAGGUCUAUCUUUUUCAUUACAAAGUUGCAUUACUGUCCUGAGAUUGUUUUGUAAAUUCUUUAAGGCCAGAGUGAAAGACCCAUAUACUUUUUGGAGACUGUGGAAUGUCUUAGCAGGUACAACACAGGGCAGAAAAGAAAUUCAGAAAUUAAAAUAAAGCUUAAAAAAUGGCGGUUUAGCUGAUGAAAACUCUAUUGUCAGUAAUCAAAAACGCUUUUUCCCUGCAUCUGAGUGAUAUACAAUAUCACCUGAACACUGGAAACAAAAUGAUUUAAAAUGCAAGAAUUAAAAGCAGAUAUAGAGGGCACAAGGCUCAUGUUUAUAUGGUGCAUGACAGUAUUGAUGCCUGUUGAAUGUUGAUGUAACUUUGUCCAUGAAAAUGCAGCAGACCAGGGACCUUUAUUUUUUUAAGGAGGGUACAGAACUAUUGGUUAUGCAACUUAGACCUGGGAAGUGGCAUGGGGUUGGUUUUGGCUUCUUUGACAUGGUUUUGGAUAAGAUUUUGGUAUGUGAGCUUAAACGGAGCUCAGAUUGCAAGCUUCAAGAAUUCAUCAUUUUUAGUGGCUUGCAAAAGUGGUCCAAAAAUGAAAUCCUGUGGGACAACUGAUGUUUGAAGAAACGCCACAAUUAAAAAAGAAAUAAGGAACAUGAAGUAGCUAUUGGAAAAUGUGGUUCAUUUUAUAAUAUGAUUGAAUAAUAGAACAAACACUUACGAACCCACAACUAAGCCUGAAAGUGUGGGACACAGUUUUAGAUAGAAAUAACAUGCAGCCAACUGUUGCAGAAAUAAGCAAAGUGAUGUAAUUGGUGAGGUCCUGAAACGUAUGUGCUGCCAGUUUUUUAAAUGCACCAGGCAAACUUGAAUUUGUAUUUGUUUUGACUCAAUCCCCUGAAAUAAAUUUGGAUCAGAUAUUUAAAAUCCAAUUAUGCUAUCUGCCAUAUUUCGAAUGCUAAAAUAAACCCCUCUAAAGGAAAUAAGGUCUCCUUGCUGCUUUCAUGUGGGUAUUAGUGCUGGGAACAACCAAAGAACACUGUCAUCUUGGUAUCCUCUCGGUUAACACAAUGGUUUCACUUCGCUUUUGACUCCCACUAAGGCAAUGGUAUAUUGGAAAAAAAAACACAGGAACUUCUUUCUCCCCACUAAAAAUAUACAUGAUGCUCAUUAAAACCUAAAUGCAUUGCCAACG